This 484-nucleotide ribosomal RNA is filed under the name uncultured bacterium. Its description in RNAcentral is "partial 16S ribosomal RNA". It matches the Rfam family "Bacterial small subunit ribosomal RNA", at positions 28 to 507 of the family's 1533-position model. The record is from RNAcentral.
AUUGAACGCUGGCGGCAUGCUUUACACAUGCAAGUCGAACGGCAGCGCGGGCUUCGGCCUGGCGGCGAGUGGCGAACGGGUGAGUAAUGCAUCGGAACGUGCCCAGUAGUGGGGGAUAGCCCGGCGAAAGCCGGAUUAAUACCGCAUACGACCUGAGGGUGAAAGCGGGGGACCGAAAGGCCUCGCGCUAUUGGAGCGGCCGAUGUCGGAUUAGCUAGUUGGUGGGGUAAAGGCUUACCAAGGCGACGAUCCGUAGCUGGUCUGAGAGGACGACCAGCCACCCUGGGUCAGAGACACGGCCCAGACUCCUGCGGGGGGCAGCAGUGGGGAAUUUUGGACAAUGGGGGCAACCCUGAUCCAGCCAUGCCGCGUGCGGGAAGAAGGCCUUCGGGUUGUAGACCGCUUUUGUUCGGGGAGAAAUCCUCUGGGCUAAUACCCCGGGGGGAUGACGGUACCGGAAGAAUAAGCACCGGCUAACUACGUG